Molecule: ribosomal RNA, 448 nt
Filed under: uncultured bacterium
Lineage: Bacteria
Description: partial 16S ribosomal RNA
Rfam family: Bacterial small subunit ribosomal RNA
Source: RNAcentral
UCCAGACUCCUACGGGAGGCAGCAGUGGGGAAUAUUGCACAAUGGGGGGAACCCUGAUGCAGCAACGCCGCGUGAGUGAGGAAGUAUUUCGGUAUGUAAAGCUCUCUCAGCAGGGAAUAGAAAAGAAGGUACCUGAAAAAGAAGCCCCGGCUAACUACGUGCCAGCAGCCGCGGUAAUACGUAGGGGGCAAGCGUUAUCCGGAUUUACUGGGUGUAAAGGGGGCGCAGACGGCGAUGCAAGCCAGGAGUGAAAGCCCGGGGCCCAACCCCGGGACUGCUCUUGGAACUGCGUGGCUAGAGUGCAGGAGGGGCAGGCGGAAUUCCUGGUGUAGCGGUGAAAUGCGUAGAUAUCAGGAGGAACACCGGUGGCGAAGGCGGCCUGCUGGACUGCAACUGACGUUGAGGCCCGAAAGCGUGGGGAGCAAACAGGAUUAGAUACCCCCGUAAU